Molecule: ribosomal RNA, 593 nt
Filed under: uncultured bacterium
Lineage: Bacteria
Description: bacterial SSU rRNA
Rfam family: Bacterial small subunit ribosomal RNA
Source: RNAcentral
CCUACGGGAGGCAGCAGUGGGGAAUCUUGCACAAUGGAGGAAACUCUGAUGCAGCGAUGCCGCGUGAGUGAAGAAGGCCUUUGGGUUGUAAAGCUCUUUUGUAGGGGAAGAUAAUGACUGUACCCUAAGAAUAAGGUCCGGCUAACUUCGUGCCAGCAGCCGCGGUAAUACGAAGGGACCUAGCGUAGUUCGGAAUUACUGGGCGUAAAGCGCGCGUAGGCCGUUGAGUUAGUUAAUUGUGAAAUCCCAAAGCUUAACUUUGGAACUGCAAUUAAAACUGCUCGACUAGAGUUUGAUAGAGGAAAGCGGAAUACAUAGUGUAGAGGUGAAAUUCGUAGAUAUUAUGUAGAACACCAGUUGCGAAGGCGGCUUUCUGGAUCAACACUGACGCUGAGGCGCGAAAGUAUGGGUAGCAAAGAGGAUUAGAUACCCUCGUAGUCCAUACCAUAAACGAUGAUUGCUAGAUGUUGGAAAUUUAUUUUCAGUAUCGCAGCUAACGCAUUAAGCAAUCCGCCUGGGGAGUACGACCGCAAGGUUAAAACCUUAAAGNGAAUUGAACGGUGUGAGAGUGCGAGACGACGACGAGGAGGAGG